RNAcentral lists this ribosomal RNA (429 nucleotides) under Actinomycetes bacterium. RNAcentral describes it as "Actinobacteria bacterium partial 16S ribosomal RNA". It matches the Rfam family "Bacterial small subunit ribosomal RNA", at positions 355 to 776 of the family's 1533-position model. The record is from RNAcentral. Lineage: Bacteria; Bacillati; Actinomycetota; Actinomycetes.
UAGGGAAUCUUCCGCAAUGGGCGAAAGCUUGACGGAGCAACGCCGCGUGAGUGAUGAAGGUCUUCGGAUCGUAAAACUCUGUUAUUAGGGAAGAACAAAUGUGUAAGUAACUAUGCACGUCUUGACGGUACCUAAUCAGAAAGCCACGGCUAACUACGUGCCAGCAGCCGCGGUAAUACGUAGGUGGCAAGCGUUAUCCGGAAUUAUUGGGCGUAAAGCGCGCGUAGGCGGUUUUUUAAGUCUGAUGUGAAAGCCCACGGCUCAACCGUGGAGAGUCACUGGAAACUGGAAAACUUGAGUGCAGAAGAGGAAAGUGGAAUUCCAUGUGUAGCGGUGAAAUGCGCAGAGAUAUGGAGGAACACCAGUGGCGAAGGCGACUUUCUGGUCUGUAACUGACGCUGAUGUGCGAAAGCGUGGGGAUCAAACAGG